Molecule: microRNA precursor, 67 nt
Filed under: Bombyx mori (domestic silkworm)
Lineage: Eukaryota; Metazoa; Arthropoda; Insecta; Lepidoptera; Bombycidae
Description: mir-2774 microRNA precursor family
Rfam family: mir-2774 microRNA precursor family
Source: Rfam by way of RNAcentral
ACAACAUCCGAACCGUUGGUCUACCGAGCAAUUUCACAAGCUCGAUGGAAAAUCUGCCCUUUGUGGA